Molecule: transfer RNA, 70 nt
Filed under: Loxodonta africana (African savanna elephant)
Lineage: Eukaryota; Metazoa; Chordata; Mammalia; Proboscidea; Elephantidae
Rfam family: tRNA
About the family: Transfer RNA (tRNA) molecules are approximately 80 nucleotides in length. Their secondary structure includes four short double-helical elements and three loops (D, anti-codon, and T loops).
Source: Rfam by way of RNAcentral
ACACUGGUGGUUCAGUGGUAGAAUUCUCGCUUUCCACACAGGAAUUCAGGUUCAAUUCCCGGCCAGUGCG